This 443-nucleotide ribosomal RNA is filed under the name uncultured bacterium. RNAcentral describes it as "partial 16S ribosomal RNA". It matches the Rfam family "Bacterial small subunit ribosomal RNA", at positions 338 to 795 of the family's 1533-position model. The record is from RNAcentral.
CCUACGGGUGGCAGCAGUGGGGAAUAUUGGGCAAUGGGCGCAAGCCUGACCCAGCAACGCCGCGUGAAGGAAGAAGGCUUUCGGGUUGUAAACUUCUUUUAUCAGGGACGAAACAAAUGACGGUACCUGAUGAAUAAGCCACGGCUAACUACGUGCCAGCAGCCGCGGUAAUACGGAGGUGGCACGCGUUAUCCGGAUUUACUGGGUGUAAAGGGCGUGUAGGCGGGCUUGGAAGUCAGAUGUGAAAUUCCAGGGCUCAACCCUGGAACUGCAUUUGAAACUGUAGGUCUUGAGUGCGGGAGAGGCAAUCGGAAUUCCGGGUGUAGCGGUGAAAUGCGUAGAUAUACGGAGGAACACCAGUGGCGAAGGCGGAUUGCUGGACAGUAACUGACGCUGAGGCGCGAAAGCGUGGGGAGCAAACAGGAUUAGAUACCCCAGUAGUC